Long non-coding RNA from Aethalodelphis obliquidens (Pacific white-sided dolphin), 666 nucleotides. RefSeq lists it as uncharacterized. NCBI's taxonomy places the organism in Eukaryota, Metazoa, Chordata, Mammalia, Artiodactyla, Delphinidae. The record is from RefSeq and is a predicted model, not a curated record. The transcript is spliced from 2 exons.
GGGCAGCGGCCGUGACGCGCUCCCGGGCGCCCCUGUUCCGCGGGGAGGUCAGGGCUUCGGCUGUGCCCGGAAUACCAACAAGGCCGCCCGGGGCCCCCGGCCGUGCCCGCUGCGGAAACAACUUCCUGCUCCCCCGGCCCAGGGCGCAGGAGCUGCGGGGAGAAGUUCUAGGCCGCAGCUUUGCUAUCUUGGAGCCGGACGACGACACUGCUGCACACGGGCCGCGCGGUUCCUUCCCGCGCCCUCUCCCGCGGUCGCGACCAGCCGGGCUCCAGGGCCCGGACACUGGUUAGAGUGACAAGAAGGCCGCAGCUGCUUUUUCUGCCUGCUCCGCAGGAGCGCCUGAGUGGUUUCUGGCGCUUGGGGACGCCGACACGGGGUCGCUGUGCUCGGACCCCAUCCCCCUGCCUGGGCAUGCCCUCUCUCGGAGCCAGAUGGACCUGGUUGUCCCCGGAUGCCCGCGACAGGGGCCCGAGAGAAAGAAGGCCUCCUGGGCCCCAUCCCAGUGUCUCUCUGUGCCUGUCUCCCCGCCCCCCCCCCCCAGCCGGCCUUGGCAUUCUAACCAGUGUCCCUUGACGUCACAUCUCGCCAUUUCUGUCAACCAAUUGAAACUUGCCCGUUGUCAUAAAAAUAUAUAUACUUUUUAUGCCAUUGGUAAAUUCAAAA